Molecule: ribosomal RNA, 452 nt
Filed under: uncultured bacterium
Lineage: Bacteria
Description: partial 16S ribosomal RNA
Rfam family: Bacterial small subunit ribosomal RNA
Source: RNAcentral
AACGAACGCUGGCGGCAGGCUUAACACAUGCAAGUCGAACGGGUGUAGCAAUACAUCAGUGGCAGACGGGUGAGUAACACGUGGGAACCUUCCUAGGGGUACGGAACAACUCAGGGAAACUUGAGCUAAUACCGUAUACGUCCGUGAGGAGAAAGAUUUAUCGCCGCUUAGACGGGCCCGCGUCGGAUUAGCUAGUUGGUGGGGUAACGGCCUACCAAGGCGACGAUCCGUAGCUGAUCUUAGAGGAUGAUCAGCCACACUGGGACUGAGACACGGCCCAGACUCCUACGGGAGGCAGCAGUGGGGAAUCUUGGACAAUGGGCGCAAGCCUGAUCCAGCCAUGCCGCGUGAGUGAAGAAGGUCUUCGGAUUGUAAAGCUCUUUUGCCAGGGACGAUAAUGACGGUACCUGGAGAAUAAGCCCCGGCAAACUUCGUGCCAGCCGCCGCCGUAA